AUGAAAACGAAUAUACGUAUGUGUAUGUGUGACUGGGACGUGAUGCUGUGCACCAGAAAUUGACACAUUGUAACUGACUGUACUUCAAUUUAAAAAAAAUUUACGAGACUUGCAGACCCAAAGUAUACGUACGUGUUGCCAAAUUGGAGGGCCGGCUCACAUGCUUUAACCCUCUUCCUUCCCAGAAUGCCACUAAAGUGUCAGUAAAGAUGCUUGACAGAAGAGAAAUCCAUUGACAACACUGAGAGUGAGCAGGUGGACCAGACUCUGGAGAGGAUCCCCGGAAGCCGAAGUCCAAGCAGAGACAGGAGAAGGCUGGCUCUCCGUCAUCCCAGAGCAGCCCCGACAGCACGGUGGAAGCCCGUGACGGAACAGAUAGGAAAACAGAAGCCCUGAAGAUCCGAGAGGACUGCAGAGAGCUGUCAGUGCACGCCUGCAAACAAGCCUGCGUGGCGGCGUUUACGAGCAGACGCUAAACUGAACCUGCUUUGAUGGGACGUCUCCCCCCUCGACACCAGACCUCUGCGCAGAACUGUCCGCCCGGCUGCCUUUGCUCCUUCACGACCUUCAAGGCCGACGCACUCAAAUCUGCUUUGUGUUCAUCCCCCCGCAAGGGCUCCAAAGGCCCCAAAGCCACAGGACCCCUCCCACCCGCCGCCAGCCGUCCUGCGGGUCCCCCUCCUCCCCCGCCCGCCUGGCCCGGCUCCUGGUGGGAUCCCCUCCUCUCCCGACCACUGCCUGCCCGGCCUGCCUCAAGACCCUCUUCCUUUCUAUUCCGAGGUGACCACAUCUGUUCCCCCCAAAUUUUUUUUUCACUUUUAAGAGUAAAAACUAUGUAUAAACAAA
Vicugna pacos (alpaca) is the source of this 846-nucleotide non-coding RNA. The record is from RefSeq and is a predicted model, not a curated record. NCBI's taxonomy places the organism in Eukaryota, Metazoa, Chordata, Mammalia, Artiodactyla, Camelidae.